UACGUAGGGGGCAAGCGUUGUCCGGAUUUAUUGGGCGUAAAGAGCGUGUAGGCGGCCAUACAGGUCCGUUGUGAAAACUGGAGGCUUAACCUCCAGACGUCGAUGGAAACCGUAUGGCUAGAGUCCGGAAGAGGAGAGUGGAAUUCCUGGUGUAGCGGUGAAAUGCGCAGAUAUCAGGAAGAACACCCGUGGCGAAGGCGGCUCCCUGGGACGGUACUGACGCUGAGACGCGAAAGCGUGGGGAGCGAACAGG
RNAcentral lists this ribosomal RNA (253 nucleotides) under uncultured bacterium. Its description in RNAcentral is "partial 16S ribosomal RNA". It matches the Rfam family "Bacterial small subunit ribosomal RNA", at positions 524 to 776 of the family's 1533-position model. The record is from RNAcentral.